UUUUGUUUUGCUAUUUUUUUAUUAACGAUUUAUUUAAUUAUUUAUUUUUUUGUAGUUCACUAUACUGGGACGUUGCUUGAUGGGCGCAAGUUUGAUUCCAGCAGAGACAGGGGAACUCCAUUCAGUUUCACGCUUGGACAAGGGCAAGUUAUUAAAGGAUGUGAUCAAGGUAUUAUAACAAUGAAGAAAGGUGAGAAUGCCCUUUUCACCAUCCCAGCUGAGCUAGCUUAUGGUGAAUCUGGUUUUCCUUCAAAGAUUCCUCCCAAUGCAACUCUUCAAUUUGACGUGGAGCUUCUGUCUUGGACUUAGUGUGAAGGACAUAUGCAAGCAUAUGAGCUCGCCUAACCCUUUGAACGGAUCAGGGAGAAGUUGAAGUCUGGAAAUUAUGACAAAGUUGAAGAUUGUUGUUUGUUGCUUUUAGUGUUUAGGGUUUAAAAUUUUGUAUUUAGACUGUAUUGGUAAUUUAUGAUGUAGCAGACUUUUGAGAUUAUGUUUUGCAUGACAAUAUUAAUUGGUUAUCAUAUGACAAUACUUAAUGUAGGAGACUAUUAUUAUUGUGAUUUACAACAGUUGGCUACUUAUAGUUUAACAAAUGUAAUACGCUAUUA
Molecule: non-coding RNA, 608 nt
Organism: Cajanus cajan (pigeon pea)
Lineage: Eukaryota; Viridiplantae; Streptophyta; Magnoliopsida; Fabales; Fabaceae
Source: RefSeq, a predicted model, not a curated record